AAGAAGGAGAAGGUAGCCCGGAGGACAUCUCCCAGGAAGUGACAUUGAGCUGAAUCCUGAGUGAUGGGGAAAAUGGACCAUUCUGAGAUCCGAAGAAAGACUUCUCAAAGCAGGGGAAACCGUACAGGCAAGGCCCUUUAGCAGGAGCAGACUCAGCCUUUUGGACCAUGAGAAGAUUAGUGCUGUGAGCGGCAGAGAGCCCCCGUUCAUGAAAAGACACUGAAAAGGCGACCAUUCUUCUCACCUGGGGUCUGUGGAAUAAACUGACGUUGAGAAGGAGUUCUACUUCCUAAAAAGAGAAAAGCUGUGCCUUCGUUGAGCCAGGCCCUGUAGAAGUCCCUGGAGAUGCAGAGAGGGUCCCUGACCUCAUGAAUCUACGUCAAUCAUUGCUAUCUCUCCCGACCACCUACAACACGUAUGGCCGAAUUCCGUGCUGCCCCAUCUAAAAGUUCAAUCUCAGCUCACUUUCUCUCCUACUGUCUCAGCAGAGAUCAUCUUAAAGACCCUCUGAAGACGGCCCAUGGCACAUGGUGGAGCUCUGGCCAGACAAUCCUUAGUAGGGAAUAAUCUUCUUUGUCAGGCAAAACAACCUCUAGUCCUUUAGAAACCUGCCCAUCUUCAAACCCUCUGAUCAAAGCACGUUGGUCCUGGGGACACCUGGAUGGCUCAGUCGGUCAAGGGUCCGACUCUUGGUGUCGGCUCAGGUCAUGAUCUCACAGU
Hyaena hyaena (striped hyena) is the source of this 720-nucleotide long non-coding RNA. RefSeq lists it as uncharacterized. Lineage: Eukaryota; Metazoa; Chordata; Mammalia; Carnivora; Hyaenidae. The transcript is spliced from 3 exons. The record is from RefSeq and is a predicted model, not a curated record.